RNAcentral lists this ribosomal RNA (497 nucleotides) under uncultured bacterium. RNAcentral describes it as "partial 16S ribosomal RNA". It matches the Rfam family "Bacterial small subunit ribosomal RNA", at positions 28 to 507 of the family's 1533-position model. The record is from RNAcentral.
GAUGAACGCUGGCGGCGUGCCUAAUACAUGCAAGACGAGCGAACGGACGAGAAGCUUGCUUCUCUGAUGUUAGCGGCGGACGGGUGAGUAACACGUGGAUAACCUACCUAUAAGACUGGGAUAACUUCGGGAAACCGGAGCUAAUACCGGAUAAUAUUUUGAACCGCAUGGUUCAAAAGUGAAAGACGGUCUUGCUGUCACUUAUAGAUGGAUCCGCGCUGCAUUAGCUAGUUGGUAAGGUAACGGCUUACCAAGGAAACGAUGCAUAGCCGACCUGAGAGGGUGAUCGGCCACACUGGAACUGAGACACGGUCCAGACUCCUACGGGAGGCAGCAGUAGGGAAUCUUCCGCAAUGGGCGAAAGCCUGACGGAGCAACGCCGCGUGAGUGAUGAAGGUCUUCGGAUCGUAAAACUCUGUUAUUAGGGAAGAACAUAUGUGUAAGUAACUGUGCACAUCUUGACGGUACCUAAUCAGAAAGCCACGGCUAACUACGUG